UCACUAAUCGAUGGUAUGGAAACAAUGGAACGUUAAAAAAACAAGUGUUAGGAAUACGUAUAAAUAUCAGAACUAACAUAGGAUAGAUAUCAAUAGAUUUCGAGGUACUCAUCUCUUUACAUCAAUUGUAAAUAUGUUGUUCACGCCAGCUUUUCUCGUAGCUGUCGCAGCAUUCGCUGUAUUACUUGAUGGCGCACUAGCAGAUCUCCCCAUAUCUCCACGUGAUUCGUCUGGGAGACACGUUUACGUUUCCUAACCAAUGGAACUUCCACCGGGUGACAGUGGCGCUGUACUAACGGGGGUUCUAUUAACUACAUUUCAUUCCCUGGUUAAGAUUAUACCUUUUACAAAUUGAUUCCAUCAAUACUGUA
Macrosteles quadrilineatus (aster leafhopper) is the source of this 371-nucleotide long non-coding RNA. RefSeq lists it as uncharacterized. The transcript is spliced from 3 exons. NCBI's taxonomy places the organism in Eukaryota, Metazoa, Arthropoda, Insecta, Hemiptera, Cicadellidae. The record is from RefSeq and is a predicted model, not a curated record.